This 429-nucleotide ribosomal RNA is filed under the name Gemmatimonadota bacterium. RNAcentral's name for it is "Gemmatimonadetes bacterium partial 16S ribosomal RNA". It matches the Rfam family "Bacterial small subunit ribosomal RNA", at positions 355 to 776 of the family's 1533-position model. The record is from RNAcentral. Lineage: Bacteria; Pseudomonadati; Gemmatimonadota.
UAGGGAAUCUUCGGCAAUGGACGAAAGUCUGACCGAGCAACGCCGCGUGAGUGAAGAAGGUUUUCGGAUCGUAAAACUCUGUUGUUAGAGAAGAACAAGGACGUUAGUAACUGAACGUCCCCUGACGGUAUCUAACCAGAAAGCCACGGCUACCUACGUGCCAGCAGCCGCGGUAAUACGUAGGUGGCAAGCGUUGUCCGGAUUUAUUGGGCGUAAAGCGAGCGCAGGCGGUUUCUUAAGUCUGAUGUGAAAGCCCCCGGCUCAACCGGGGAGGGUCAUUGGAAACUGGGAGGCUUGAGUGCAGAAGAGGAGAGUGGAAUUCCAUGUGUAGCGGUGAAAUGCGUAGAUAUAUGGAGGAACACCAGUGGCGAAGGCGGCUCUCUGGUCUGUAACUGACGCUGAGGCUCGAAAGCGUGGGGAGCAAACAGG